UACGGGGGGGGCAAGCGUUGUUCGGAAUUACUGGGCGUAAAGGGUUCGUAGGUGGCCAACUAAGUCAGACGUGAAAUCCCUCAGCUUAACUGGGGAACUGCGUCUGAUACUGGUUGGCUUGAGUGCAGGAGAGGAAUGCGGAAUUCCCGGUGUAGCGGUGAAAUGCGUAGAGCUCGGGAAGAACAUCGGUGGCGAAAGCGCUCUACUGGACUGCAACUGACACUCAGGGACGAAAGCUAGGGGAGCGAAUGGG
Molecule: ribosomal RNA, 253 nt
Filed under: uncultured bacterium
Lineage: Bacteria
Description: partial 16S ribosomal RNA
Rfam family: Bacterial small subunit ribosomal RNA
Source: RNAcentral